Molecule: ribosomal RNA, 253 nt
Filed under: uncultured bacterium
Lineage: Bacteria
Description: partial 16S ribosomal RNA
Rfam family: Bacterial small subunit ribosomal RNA
Source: RNAcentral
GACAGAGGGUGCAAACGUUGUUCGGAAUUACUGGGCGUAAAGGGCUCGUAGGUCGCCAACUAAGUCAGACGUGAAAUCCCUCGGCUUAACCGGGGAACUGCGUCUGAUACUGGAUGGCUUGAGUUUGGGAGAGGGACGCGGAAUUCCAGGUGUAGCGGUGAAAUGCGUAGAUAUCUGGAGGAACACCGGUGGCGAAGGCGGCGUCCUGGACCAACACUGACACUGAGGAGCGAAAGCCAGGGGAGCAAACGGG